GCCAGCUGCUAAACUGCUGACUCUCCCAGGAUGCUCAAAAGGUACCUGCGGUAUAGUGGUGAACGCAGAGAAUCUUGUACGUCCCAGAUGCAGAAAAUUGUAGCAUCUCUGAUCUUGAGGAAUGUUGGAAGACAAAGUUAAGGAUUUCUCACAGUCUAGAUUCAGAAGGUUCUUCUCCAGUGUGCUUGCUUUUAUGUCUAUGUGGGUUUAACGAGUCAACAAAGGCUUCCUUGUCAUUACAGCAUCUGUAGUUAUUAGAGGUUUCUGUAGUGUCACUUCUUUUAUAAAGUACACAGUUGGGGGGGUUCAUGAAGCAUUUCACCAAUCUUAUUACACUGACAAGACUCCUUUUCGGUCUUUACAUGUUGAGGGACAGUAUCACAUGUACAGUUCUUUAAAACCAAAUCAGAUUAAUAGGGUUUGUUCCAAAAUUAAACAUUUGGUAAAUGGUUGUCUCCAUAGGUUCUUUCUUACAAUAAGUCAACCAGAAACUACUUAGAUGUAUUUCUUUUACUGUAAUUUUAUGUAUUCCCACAACAAUGGCCUGACAGCCUUCAAGGGUCUGUGAUUUACAAUAGAUAUCUCAUCAUUAUAGAAAAUGUAUACUGGCUCGAGAUGGACCAAAUAAUUGAGGAGUUAGUAACUGGUUUUGGGGUAGAGCUCAAAUGGCUGAUUGUACUCAGAAUACAUGUUUCUAUUCAGAAACUAGUGACAAAUUUAAUGAAAUCCCAGGCUCACAGUGUUUGUACUCAGUAAUACACAGUAACAAAUAUUACUGUCCAAGAAACCUAAAUCUUUCUAAUAAUUACUUAAAAGCAUCAACACGUUUGUCUGUUUGAUUUUUCUUAUUGUUUUUUUGGGGGUUUUGUUUCGUUUUGUUUUGUUUUUUUGAGACAGGGUUUCCCUGUGUAGCACUGGCUGUCCUGGAACACACUUUGUAGACCAGGCUGGCCUCGAACUCAGAAAUCCACCUGUCUCUGCCUCCCAAGUGCUGGGAUUAAAGGCGUGUGCCACCACGCCUGGCUGGGUUUUUUUUUUUUUUUUCUUUAAAAAACACACUAUAUUAUUGAAAAGUAAUGGAAGCAAAGCAAGUAUUUUUCAGAUAUCAGAGACUUUAGAAUACAGAACCUAGAUCAUUUGAGGGAGAGCUGUCAGGUGCAACGAUUGCUUAUUUCUUUCCUACACUGUCUGAAUUACAUACACUGCCAGAUAUCUUUAUUUUCCUUAUAUGGUUAUUCUCAAGCUUACUCUGUAUAAUAAUUCUUGAGAUUAUUUUCCAGAAGGGUGUCGGUGUAUUCUCCACUAGGAAGAAAAUGAAGGAUGUAAUAUGAAGACAUGCAUGCAAAAAAAGUAAAUCAUGGGUACUGGAGAGAUGGCUCAGUGGUUAAGAGCACUGACUUCUCUUCCAAAGGUCCUAAGUUCAAUUCCCAGCAACUACAUGGUGGCUUACAACCAUCUGUAAUGGGAUAUAAUGCCUUCUCAUAAGUCUGAAAACAGCUAUAGUGUACUCAUAUACAUAAUGAAGAAAAUAAAGUAAUUACAGAAUGUUAUUCUGUAAUUACAGAAGUUACUUCGUGGCUUCAUGUCAGACUCAUAAUUUUGUAAAUUAUUCCAAUCUGAUGUCAUCAUAAUCAAGGAAAAUUCCAUUUUGUGCUAGCGUUAAUUUGAUAAUUCAGGUGCAAUAAGGCACAAUAUCUUCAACUAGUUACAACAGGCAGGAUACAUCCUGGAGGCACAAUAUUAAGCUAAAUGAUUGGGAAUCAUUUCAGGUGGAAUUCAAUGUAGCAAACAUAUUUUCAGCUCUUGGUUUCUCCUUCACCUGAAACCUUUACUGUUGUCCUACUCAUUCACUAGCUCACCCUAGUAGUGAGCCAGAUGAGGCUACUCUCUCUCUCUCCUCUCCACAUUCCAUGGUAAACUCAAUUGGUCCAGACAGGUAACCAGGUCUACCUUGUAUACAAAAAUCCACAUAUAUUCUGUGAUCCAUGCAAUGAUUUUUUAAAAAAAGAAUACAGAUGUCCAAUACAACACUAUGCUCAGUACAUGAAGACAACACAAAGUAGAGACAGCCAGGAAUGAUUUCCCAAUUCUAUUUCCUGUCAGAAUCUUAAGUUUUCUUGGGGAGACUUUUAAGUGUUCAUAUGGUGAGUUUUUCUUCUCACAAUUAAAAUCCUGUAAUUACAAUUAUGGACAUGGAGCUGUAAAACAUGGAGUUAAAUAUUAUAUGAUAGUAUGUUUCUUAAUGCAUUGGGAAAACCAAAUAAAGGUUGCAUGAUUCCUCUAGAAUGAGAAAUGGAAUGAAUAAAUCAUAUACCCUG
This 2318-nucleotide long non-coding RNA is filed under the name Mus caroli (Ryukyu mouse). RNAcentral's name for it is "lncRNA (MGP_CAROLIEiJ_G0005177.1)". Lineage: Eukaryota; Metazoa; Chordata; Mammalia; Rodentia; Muridae. The record is from RNAcentral.